Molecule: ribosomal RNA, 417 nt
Filed under: uncultured bacterium
Lineage: Bacteria
Description: bacterial SSU rRNA
Rfam family: Bacterial small subunit ribosomal RNA
Source: RNAcentral
AAUCUUCCACAAUGGGCGAAAGCCUGAUGGAGCAACGCCGCGUGGGUGAAGAAGGUCUUCGGAUCGUAAAACCCUGUUGUUAGAGAAAAACAAGGACGUUAGUAAAUGAACGUCCCCUGACGGUAUCUAACCAGAAAGCCACGGCUAACUAAGUGCCAGCAGCCGCGGUAAUACGUAGGUGGCAAGCGUUAUCCGGAUUUAUUGGGCGUAAAGGGUGCGUAGGUGGUUUCUUAAGUCAGAGGUGAAAGGCUACGGCUCAACCGUAGUAAGCCUUUGAAACUGGGGAACUUGAGUGCAGGAGAGGAGAGUGGAAUUCCUAGUGUAGCGGUGAAAUGCGUAGAUAUAUGGAAGAACACCAGUGGCGAAAGCGGCUCUCUGGUCUGUAACUGACGCUGAGGUUCGAAAGCGUGGGUAGCA